UACAGAGGGGGCAAGCGUUGUUCGGAAUUACUGGGCGUAAAGGGCGCGUAGGCGGCCUGCUAAGUCGAACGUGAAAUCCCUGGGCUCAACCCAGGAACUGCGUCCGAUACUGGUUGGCUUGAAUCCGGAGAGGGAUGUGGAAUUCCAGGUGUAGCGGUGAAAUGCGUAGAUAUCUGGAGGAACACCGGUGGCGAAGGCGACAUCCUGGACCGGUAUUGACGCUGAGGCGCGAAAGCCAGGG
This 241-nucleotide ribosomal RNA is filed under the name uncultured bacterium. RNAcentral describes it as "partial 16S ribosomal RNA". It matches the Rfam family "Bacterial small subunit ribosomal RNA", at positions 524 to 765 of the family's 1533-position model. The record is from RNAcentral.